GACAUGACUUAGUGACUGAGCAACAACAGUCUCCUAUUUACCUCCUAUUCCUCCUUUCUUUCUCCACGUGCCACAUCAGGCAUGGGCAAGGCUGACAUGGACCUUGACUGCUCGCAAAGAGGGGCUCUGACCCCUUUGUCCUCCCAGCCCUUCAAGGUCUGGCUAUCUGGUGCUGGAAUGGGAACAGAGUAGAUGAAGAAUGCAAGCAUCACUACUUCACUCUGCUGGUGAAACCACAACCCUACACCUGGACUUCUUUGAGGUAUCAGGCAAUCCAAGCAGACAUGUAAUCUGGAAUUAGAAUAUGAGCUUCAUCUUCUUAUUGUAAGAACACCCUCUUUCAACUCAAGGAAGUCAAGAAUUCUCUUGACUUCCCCCUCAUUUGACUUGCAGGUCAUGUGGAAGGUAAGACAUUCACUUCUCACAGUGACCCAUGUAUGACAAUGACCUCAGCCAUGGUUUCCUUUCUUCUCAAACUGAGGAGAUUCCCAGCCCAGAGCUGAUGGUAGCAGUACAAGUGUUAAACCCAGAUGCUGUUGGUUCUCUCUUAGCAAAAACUUUAUCCUUUGUUUCAGCCUUGGUCACCAAUUUCUGGGUCAAUAGAAAAAUCCAUUCAAUUUCCUAUUGUGUGCACAAGUUUAGAUUUGGGUCCAAACUAGGCUUCUAUUUCUUUUGGACUUAACUUAUACAGGAUAGAAUUGGGUUUUACUUGGUCCAGGCUGUGGUUAAAAAGUGAAGUUCAAGGGCCAACCAAAACUACAACCGGUCAAGAGAAGGCUGCUCAGGACACAGUUGCAGAGGGCGGGCCCAGCCUGAGUCCUGCGGGGAGUGAAGAUAAGCACCAGGGGAAUCCCCAAGCCCCCCCCACCACACACACCAUCUGCAGAACCACCUGACAUGUGGACAUACCAGGAGAUUUCCAGGGCUCCGCAAAGGCUCCAUCUUUCAGACACUCCUAGCUGAGUCACAGCUAAUGCUGACCUCAUUCAGGCAGAACACCAACACCAUUCACUGGAACUGGAAAUUACCAAGGCUUCUUCAGUUUGGGGGAGGGAGAGGAGAUCACUGCCAACGGGACACCCACUUCAACCCUUUAUACGCGUUGUGGGCCAGUUAGUCUUAGUCACAUCUUCAGGCUCUGACGUCUUCCUUACAAUAAGGCAAACCCCAUCGACCUCAUCAGGAUGGCAGGGGAUUAAUGAGAUGACACUGUAUGUGAAGCACAUAGGACACUGCUUGGCACAGAGCAGAGAGAAUAAAUUCCCAAUCUGCUCACCCCUCAGUGAGACCACAGUGACCAGAAGAUACAUGGUCCCUCCGUCUUCAGGAUGUAGGUAGGUCCACAAUCCAGGCACUUCUCACCAUGACCACUGCCCCACUCUGGUCCAAGCAUUAUUGCCUCUUACCUGAGCCACUGCAGCAGCCUCUGAAGUGAACCCCUGCUCUCACCCUUGCUUCCUACAGUCUAUCAGAACGGUCCUAAAAAAGGUAAGUGGAUCAUGAUACUACAUAAAUCCCUGCAACGACUCUUGUCCUCAUUAGAGUGAACGUUAGUCCCCACAGUCACCUACAAGGCCUUCCACGUUCCACCCACAGUUGCUCUCCUGGCCUAUCUCCAUCCCCCUGGCCGGCUCCCUGUUCUUCUGACACAGUUGGCCAGUUUCUGCCUCGGGGCCUUUGCACUGAAGAGGAAUAUUCUUCCCCUUGACAGCCACAUUACUGUUCCUUUCUUUCAGGUCCUGAAUCAAAUGUCACUUUCUCGGUGGUCUUCUCUGACCACUCUGUUUAACAUGGCAUCAUUUCCCCAUGUGCCUCAAUCAGUGGCUGUCCUGUCCCACUCCCCAUAGCAUUUUAUCUCCUAACAUACCAUGUAAUUUACUGAUUUACAUUACGGUCCAUUUCCCCUUCCUCCUACACACACCAAAAUAUAAAUACCACACAUGUAAGAACUAGUGUCUGCACUGUUCAUUGCUGCACCUCAGGAUCUAAGACAGUGCCUAGUACACGUGAGGUGCUCAGGAGUCAGUUGAAUGAAUGACUAAGUGACUAAAAGGAUAGGAGCAUUCAGGAGCAGGAAGCGUAAGACCCAGUUAACUCCUCAAAACGCAGGCUGCAGUCUAAGCUCAGUAAUGCUGAGAAUGAAUCAGAGGAAGGAUGAAGUCAGCUCAGAAGAGGGUGUCCAGACUGAGGAAGUGAGCUCCACCCCUGCCUCAUCUCAUUUUGGACCUAACAUUGGAAAUACAUUUUGAAAGCAUCCUCUUUAGUCAUUCCAAUCACUUGCUUCCUCUAAACUCCAACUUGUCUAGGGACCAAAGUCUGAAACUUUUGCAAGUAGAAGCUGUGUUAGGCAGAAAAAAAAAAAAAGUUCAAUGGCACUUUAACCAUUUUGACUUCAGAGAGCAAGCGUGAUGCCUCAAAGCCUCCCAGCUGCUCCCUGCAGCUCAGCUCUCUCAGGUGCCUGCAGUCUCAGAUUCUCUUUGCCCAAAACAUUGAUUCACACCCUGAAUUGAGGGACACAAGCCUUUCAUGUGUGGGGAUCUCUUCUCACAUGAAUCCCAAGUAAAACAAAAACUAGGUGUAGGACAGCUAUAACUCACUGACAAGCAAUUGCUCCAUCUAAAGGCAUUCAGACAUGAAUGAAUGAAUGAAUGAAUAACACCAGUCAAGUCACACAAAACACUUAAGAUCUGCAAACUGCCAGUCUGCAGUUCCAGUCUUGACUGCAAGCUUAGCCCCUACAGCAAUGCAGAAAUAUAGUAGGCACUCAAUAAAGAGCUGAUGACUGAUCACUGCAGAUGGUGACUGCAGCC
Long non-coding RNA from Odocoileus virginianus texanus, 2810 nucleotides. RefSeq lists it as uncharacterized. The record is from RefSeq and is a predicted model, not a curated record. Lineage: Eukaryota; Metazoa; Chordata; Mammalia; Artiodactyla; Cervidae.